AUUUUAUUUUUUUAAUAGAGACAGGGUUUCACCAUGUUGCCCAAGCUGGUCUUGAACUCCUGGAUUCAAGUGAUCUACCUACCUUGGCCUCCCAAAGUGCUGGGAUUACAGACAUAAGCCACCACACCCAGCCAGUGGUUUGAGGUUUGAAUCACAACUCUGUCACAUAUUGUAAUGGACAUCUGGUGUUUUUCCCAGUCCCAGCACCCACUCUUUUCUGGAAGCAGCACCUUUCUUUUUCCUUGGGGAAUUACCCCUUUCCUAGUUUGUGCCAAUAAUCAAGAUUCGUGUCCUCCCCUGAAAAACAGUGUCAUGUGGCCCAAGUGAGGCCAAUCAGAUUCAACCUCACAAAUUCCAGUUGCGAGCCAGGCGAUCAGGAAGAGAUUGGAGCUGAUCAUCCCUCUGGCAUGUUCCUGAAGAAAUGGGCCCACUCAUGCCUGCCAUCUGGAUGCUGGAAAUUACUCUAUUUCUUAUUCUUCCCAUGAUCCAGUUGUUCACCUUUGAUUCUGUUUUAUGUCACCAGGCAGUAGGAUCAUGAUCUGACAAUAAGAUGAAGAGGAACUGGUAAGUUCCUGCAAUAUAAUCUUUCAAAGGUCUGCACUGUUUCAGCACCUCACUGAAACCCUCACGGAGCUUUAUGUCACCCGGUUCCGGGCACACUCCAAAAACGGUUUUAUCUCAUAGAAGCAAGGCUGCUGCCGCUGUGACAUCUGGGUUCCCUGGGGCUCCUGGUCCUAAAUGUAGCUUCUAGGAGACUUAGUUUAGGGGAAGUAAAGAAAAUGAUGUUAACUGUGGAUCACUGGGCCCUCAGGGCAGAUGCCCACCCAUCUGGAUACCGGAGAUAGCACCUGCUCCUAGUUUCAUGGCCGAUUUUGCCUGCGUCUGCUUCACUGGUUGUACCCAUGGGUGGUGACUUCUUCAGAAAGUGAUCUCAUAACCUGUUUGCACAUUGUUUUGGAAGUAAACGUUGCCAGAGAUUAAAGUAUUAAAUGUAAUCUUACUUACCCUUCUAGAGGACAUUGCGGCAAAAAUAUUCUUCCAAAGGGAUGCCUGAUAUUACAGAUGGAUCCAGGUUUUGUAGGGCCUAUGUUUAUGCAAUUUUGUAGAACUUCUUUAAUAAAAAGUAUAUAAAAAGUUGAUUUCAUAGAAGUAAAAAGUAGUAUAGAAGAUACCUGAGGCUGGGAAGGGUAAGAGGAAGGAGGAUGAUGAGAGAUUUUUGAAAGGAUACAAAGUUACAGCUAGAUAGGAGAAACAAGUUCCAGUGUUUUAUUUCACUGUAGGAUGACUAUAAUUAGUAAUAAUAUGUAGUGUCAAAUGGCUAGGAGGAUAUCAAAUGUUCUCAACACAAAAAAUAAUAAACGUUUGAGAUCUGAUCACUAAACAUUACAUGUACAGCACUAUGUACCCCAUAAAUGUGUACAAUCAUUAUACAUCAAUUAAGAAAUAAAAGAAAAAAGAAAAAGUAUUGAUACGGUUUGAUUCUGUGUCCCCAUCUAAAUUUCAUCUUGAACUGUAGUCCCCUUGUGUCAGGGUAGGGACUUCCUGGGAGGUGACUGGAUCAUGGGGGCGGUUUCCCACACGCUGGUCUCAUGAUAGUGAGUGAGUUCUCAUGAGAUCUGGUGGUUUAAAAAUGUUUGGCAGUUGUCGCUUUGCUCUUUUUCUCUCCUGCCACCAUGUAAGACGGCCUCACUUCCCCUUUGCCUUUCACCAUGACUGUAAAUUUCCUGAUGCCUCCCCAGCCACGUGGAACUGUGAGUCAAUUAAACCACUUUCCUUUAUAAAUGACCCAGCCUCAGGCAGUUUUUUAUUGCAGUGUGAAAAUGGACUAAGAUAAGUAUAUAAAAGUCGUUAUAAAAGUAAACAUUUAUUUAGAGUUAGAAAAGAAAUCUCAACAUAUUACAAUUUAAAAAUAUGACAAAUACUACAAACAUCACAAAAUCCAGAAAAACCGUAAUAUUUAUUAUUAACUAACGGCUUGAUUCACCUCUACAAUACUUUCUUACUUACAUAUUUUGGCAGCAUACUUUGAUUUUUCUGUUAACGUGUUGGCUUUAAAAAAUCAUUUUCCAUGAAGAAAAUAGAAAUGUAAUUCAAUCUUAUAGUACGCU
RNAcentral lists this long non-coding RNA (2108 nucleotides) under Homo sapiens (human). RNAcentral's name for it is "HSALNT0113484". Lineage: Eukaryota; Metazoa; Chordata; Mammalia; Primates; Hominidae. The record is from RNAcentral.